GGGUAACAUAUAGAUAGGGCUAGAUCUUCUGUUGACCCAGCUUCUGCAAAUAUUAUGAGGGUCUACCACUACACACAUGAAGCCGCCUGUGUGGUCAAGCCUUGCUGGGGGUAGCAACCUGGGUAUCGCCUGCAGCUGCAAGCCCAUCCUGCUUUGCGGCGGGCUCUGGUGAAGUCCAGCGGCACCUUAGACUCCGCUCCCUGGCACAGUCUGAGUCAUCUGCCACACUGGUCCAGCAGAUCCACACACACCGGAGUUCCUGUCUUCAGAAACGGAUUACAAAGUUUAUGUUUCCCGUGGAUGGUACUGAGCACAGAAUCGACAGGAUUAACUUGCGGUUUUAUGG
Long non-coding RNA from Hyla sarda, 346 nucleotides. RefSeq lists it as uncharacterized. NCBI's taxonomy places the organism in Eukaryota, Metazoa, Chordata, Amphibia, Anura, Hylidae. The transcript is spliced from 3 exons. The record is from RefSeq and is a predicted model, not a curated record.